This is an RNA transcript of Syngnathoides biaculeatus (alligator pipefish), 10234 nucleotides long. RefSeq lists it as uncharacterized. The record is from RefSeq and is a predicted model, not a curated record. NCBI's taxonomy places the organism in Eukaryota, Metazoa, Chordata, Actinopteri, Syngnathiformes, Syngnathidae. The transcript is spliced from 4 exons.
UUUUAUUAAAAAAAAGUGUGAAUACUGGAGUGGCCGCAGAAAGGCGUUGCAGUUGUUUUGAGUCUCUAAGGUUGCGUUCUUGAGCGACGGCUACCCGGGAGGGUAGUGAGUUGGCUCUUUGCGGGAUCUGUCAAGAAUGCAACAGAAGAUGAUCCGGAUGCCACAGAAGACGCUAAGCCUUGCCGAUGCCGUACAUCUGGACAUGACGGCAGGGGAUUCAGGACGCGCUAAUGGCUUUCAAACUUUCCCGUAAAGACGGGAAUAUGGAGGAGGCUGAAUAAUUGACGGGGGAGCAUAUGCGAGAGCUGUCAGCAGGCAUCACUCUGCUGCGACUUCUGCUGACAGUGGAGAGAACAUCCAGAAUGUUACAGAAUGACAGACGUGUAUGUUGGACUCCUGACAGAUGGUACGGAAUUCACAAGUAUUUUACAUGUGACACAAUUUGUGUGCCUUAGCUUCAAAUGGGGAAAAAUGAUUUGGAACACAAAAUUUAUAGGAUCAUUAGCUCUGAAUAAGAUAUGCAGAAUAACGCAAUGUGGGCUAAAGAUAUGCAAUCAUCUCCACAGUCACUUGGCUUUGGAUAAAACUUUGUCGGAUAAAGCUAUGCGGUGUAAAGCUAUGUUGUCAUAAGCAUUGUCAUUUGGCUAUGGAUAAAACUAUGACUAGCUAUAUGGUAGUCGGCGUUAUCGUUUGACUCUGGAUAGGCCAUUUAAAUAAUUUUCCUGUCUCGAGCAAUUUGCUACGUGGUUAUCUGCAUAGUCAUCUAGCAACGGAAACAACAUUUCUAUGCAGUGGUCAACAAAUUCACUUUACUCUCGACAGCCCCAGACGCCGAAGCUAGGCUAAAGCCCUCCGCCGCCACCGAAGGUGGGCCACGAGCUCCGGCGGCAGGCCGCGAGUCGAGCGUCAACGUCCGGGGAGGUCUUUAGCCGAGCCUUGGUGGUGGCGGAGGGCUUUAGCCUAGUUUCGACGUCCGGGGCUAACAAAGCCACCACCGAAGCUUGGCUAAAGCCCUCUGCCGUCUGAAAGCUUGCCUUGCGGCCCGCCACCGGAGCUCGCUCGUCAGACUCCACGUCAUUCCCGUCCGUAGAACCAUCCGCGGCUGCCGGCCCGGAGCUCCCAGGGGCCUGUGUUUACGCUCUUAUGUUGUACGUAGGCCUCCGAGUAGUCAUACACCGCGUCAUUCCGCCCGAAGAACCAUCCGAAUAUUCAACAUUAAUUACAGCCAAAGGUCCACAUCUGUAUGAAAGUAUUCCUCCGUUUUCCCAAUCAACCGAUACUGCUAUUUCUUCAUCUGAUGAGGAAAAAUCCGAGAAAUCACAGCUGGGCAUAAUGGUGACCCAUGUAAUUGAGCGUUUGGAACGCCACGGUACACGUCACAUACGCCCACAUACAUCAUGUGACUCGCGAAAAUGGCAGCGCCCCUGAAAAUUCUGAAUUGUUGCCAAAAAUCUUCUCAAAACACUAUUAAAUGUGAGAGGAUUUAGCAUCACAUUGUCAAAAUAGGGUACAUAUUAAACGACCUAUUGGAUACACUGUUCAUACAAAGCACUGGAUUUCUCCUUUUAAAAAAAAAAGUGUGCUCUCUCACAGACAUACUAUCAGUUCAAUCAAGUCUUGUCUUGUAUGUCACAACCCUCAUCUAAUGGAAGACUGAAAUACUCACAUGAUUGGAGGUCUGAGUGCAACUGUGAAUCAGUAGCCAUGCUAAUGUCCAAUAUUCUUUGUUCAAUCGUGUGGCGGGACAGUUGAGGGUCUCAUACCAUCCAUCAUACCAUCGUUUAAAAUUGUUGUUUUCAGGACAAGAUUUCAGCGAUCAUGUCAUCAUGGCAUUUUUUUUUAAUAAAUUCCCCUUUAUUGUAUGGCUUUUUGCCCCUUGCAAUGUUCCAAGCCUAUUGGCAUGAUGCAAGAGUUAGAAUCUGGAUGCUUCUUUUUUUUUUUUAAACUGCAUCUGUUUUUCAGUCUGAUUUUUCAAAGUGACUGACUUGUUACUGCUAAAUUCAGUCACUUUUUGGAAAUUUUAGGUCAAUGUUAGCAUGGACUGAGUGGAAACGUCACUGAAGAUUUGAAGCUUUGAAAUCCGAUAAAGACGUUUGACACAAAAGGCACUGGCUGGCUGUUGAGCUCAACAAAAAAUAUGACCUCUGCAUCUCUGGUAAAAACGUCUGUGCUCAUCCACAUAUUUUCACUUAAUUGUGCAUUUUUGGCUUCCAUUUUGAGAUCGAAUUUGAUACAUUAUGUUCUCCAAAGAUCACUAUCUGAAUGGGAAACUGACCUAUUUUCAUUCUAAUGUGCAAGCCAGUUUUGCGAAAUUAUCGUAAUAAACUCAAGCAAAGGGCGCACGCAAAUACCGUAAAAAACUCAUGCAAAGUACGUGCACGCAUGCAAAUUAAAACAACAGAAUGUUAAUAUGCUUUCAUGUCUUCACAAGAGCUGCAUGAAAUGGGCCAAAGAGCUGCAUGCACCCAGAGAGCUCCGGGUUCGCCACCCCUGCUUUAAAGCAUGAUUAAAAAGAACUGAUAUGUUCUCUGUAAUCAUGCUCUAAAGUUAUGGAUGUUUUUGUCUCAUUGUUCUUCUUUUCGCCAAAUAUGCCACAGCGAUCUGUUAUCCAACAACAACUUCUUGCUACCAUGGUAACGGUUGUACAAUAUCCCAUUCUGGUGAAAGGUGACAGGUUUUCAGGUCAUGCCUCCCCGAAAGCAUUUAAUUUGACAAGAUAAAGCCCAGUAGUCAUAAAAUACAGGAUACAAUGGUUUCGGUAUACGUGUCAUGUAGUAUUGCCACAGUUUCGCCAAGAUACAGAAAGAUUUUACUGCAGUUGUCGGACAUGGUGCAUUUGGAAAGACCAAAAAUUGUCUUGUAGUAUGAUUCAGGCAUUGCAUCGGUUUGGGGUAAUUUUCGAUACAUUUAUCCAGAGCCAAAUCCGGAAGGCCACAGAUUUAUUUCGAGUGAAAUAACUACAAGUAUAUCCUGAGGUGAAUGAGUGUGCAGACGACCACAAUUUUUUUUUCCAGAACCUAAUGAUUAUGUAAAUGUUUUAUCUGGAGUCAAACUGAAGGAAGUUGCAUAGCUUCGCAUAGUUUUAUCCUGCACAAAAUGACAAUGCAGAUGGCCACACAGCUUUAUCCAGAGAAAAAUUACUCUUUCAACAGCUAAACUAAUGAGACAACCUAGGUGCUCCUCGUUUUCAUUUACUCCUAGUGAGAAACAGUGAAAGUUGCACAUACUAAUGUUGUCAUGAAAACAAAGGAGCGCACAAAAACAGGAAUGUCUUCACAUAGCAGAUGGCAGCAGCUGCCCCCACAACAGCAGCAGUCUUAAUAAUUGACAAGUUUUAGCAUUAGCAUUGUAACCACUAGGUGUCAACAGGGCUCCCCGGUUAUCGUUUACCCCCCAGCCCCAUUAUGAAAACACCAGACGAGGAGAUGGCUGUGAGGGGACCCUCUCAACAUGAACCCGGGCAUGGGUCCCUGAAUGGGGGUCUGGGGUGGGAACAAAGGCCAAUAUUAAGAGGACGACGCCCAAACUGUUGGGGCAGAUGAAGCUGGCAAAUUUAUGCCAAAACUCAGGGACCUGCCCGAAACGUGAGUACCACAGAGUUUGAUGGAACACAACGAAAAAGGGUGGGAGAAAAUGGUAUAAUCCCUCAAUUGACUGUAGUCUGAGUUUACAGGUAUGGGUGGCACUCGAGCCAACAGAUGGGCAGCAGAACACAAGCGGCAGGAGUGGCAGGAGGGUCCAACUGCCAAGAUUGUCAGUGUGGUGAAUUAUUUAGAGAGCAUGGAGGGUAAAAAAGGAAAAGGCUGGCAUUUGUCAACCCUAACCCUUUCUAAAAUCUAAUCCUAACAAUAAUUUUUAUUCCACUGAUAGGAUACCUCUGUAGCAUAGUCAUGGUUAUGGAUUAAAAGUCAGAGGACAAAGAUGGCAAUUUUUUUCUUGUUAACAGUAAAACCCCUUUAGAAACUACUUCUACCAUUUCGAAUUGAUUAUAUAGCAGAUAUAAAGCAGUUCAACCAAUAAAUAUGAUGCAGAAUCUGGCUUCUACUUGUUGCAUCCAGCGCCUUCCAGUUUUCGGCUCUCUCUUCAGCACUGUGACGUUACACGAACUAAACAACCGAUUAUUCGACGUUGAGUGCCAUUGUUCCAUACUGUCAAUCCUUGUGUAUUUCUUGUCAUAUGAUUGAACAAUGUCACAAUGGUUUAUUGUGUGGCAUUUGGUUGUACAAUUUUUUCUGAGAGUGGUGAAAAUUUUUUUGUUUUGGGUCUUCAAGUAAAAAAGGAAUAUCAGUGGAUAGAAAAAGUCAGUCGACAGGGGAAAAAAAAAAUGUGAUCAGCUAUAGGUGCCUAGCAAGAUUUCCAAACUCUGUGUUGAUCACUUCUAACCGGCAAGCAUUGGGUACAGAUGUAGAGGCUCAAGUCAGCGGUGGGAGCAACUAUUUUUCCUAUGGCCAUCAGGACCUCAACCACCAGCAAGAGAACAAAAUCUUGCAGACGCCAUGGAAAAGCAGCGCAGACCGGAGUUCUCAAUUUCCUUUGUGGAGUUCUGGAUUGUUGAACAACCAGGAAUGGCUAUUGCUCAAUGUGCAUCCAUGAAGGGGACGUUCGACAGAUCUUCAAACACCAGGCACCAAGCACCAGGCCCAGAUCGUGUGUCCCCAUCCUGCCUCAAAGUCUGCGCAGACCAACUUGCUCCUGUCUUUGCAAAAAUCUUCAACAGGUCUCGAGAACUGGGUGAAGUACCUGCCUCCUUCAAACGCACAACCAUUAUACCGGUCCCCAAAAAAUUAGCAGUCUCAGGUCUUAAUGACUACAGGCCUGUUGCCUUGACAUCUGUGGACAUGAUAUCCUUUGAACGCCUUGUGCUGGACCAUCUCAGAAGGGUCACAGGUCCCCAAUUGUACCCACUGCAGUUUGCCUAUCGAGCUAACAGGUCUGUGGAUGAUGCCGUCAACAUGGGCUUGUACUUCAUCCUUUAACAUUUCGACAACGAGGCUCAGCGUCUCGCCUGCCAUCUCCCAGUGGAUUUGCAACUUCCUGACUGGCAGGACACCACAGGUGUGGCUGUGGGACACCACCUCAUCCACGCGCACUAUCAGCACCGGGGCACUGCAAGGUUUUGUCUUCUCCCCUCAACUCUUCUCUCUCUACACGAACGACUGCACCUCGUGGCAUCCUACAGUCAAACUCCUGAAGUUCGCAGAUGACACCACGGUCAUCGGCCUCAUCAAAGACGGCGAGGAGUCUGCGUAUCGACAGGAAGUGGAAAGACUGGAGGUGUGGUGUGGUCAACACAAUCUGUCGUUGAACACUCUAAAUACUGUGGAGAUGAUUGUGGAUUUCAGGAGGCAUCCUUCACCACAGCUGCACUUGACGCUGUCCAACUGCCUUGUUUCAACCAUCGAGACUUUCAAGUUCUUGGGAAUUACAGUCCCAGAGGACUUGAAGUGGGGUACGAACAUCACCUCCAUUCUCAAAAAAGCCCAGCAAAGGAUGUACUUCUUGCGGCUUCUAAGGAAACACGGCCUGUUACAAGAGCUGCUGAGAUAGUUCUGCACAGCGGUUAUCAAAUCAGGACUGUGUACCUCCAUCACAGUCUGGCUUGGAGCCGCCACAAAAAAGGACUAACUCAGACUACAACGGACAAUCAAAACUGCUGAACGGAUUGUCGCCACUACACUAACCACUAUUGAGGACUUGCACGCAACUACCCACUAUCGAGGACUUGCACGCAACAUGAACCAGGUCUAGAGCAAGCAGGAUAACAUCCUGGCCACCAGCUCUUCCAGCUCCUUCUGUCGGGAAAGCGAUACAGAUCAAUGAAAGUCAAAAGUAACAGGCAUUCAAGAGGUUUUUUCCCUCUGGCAAUUAAGUCAUUAAAUUCCUGAUCAGCGAUCAGCGUUCAUCUAAGAUGACACACUGUGCUGACCCCUGACGGAGCAAACCGAAAGGAAAAGAUGACGACGACUCUGUAAAAAUAACUACAGCACAUACAUUUUGGUCGGCACGGUUGUUCAGCUGGUAAAGCGUUGGCCUCACAGUUCUGAGUCCCGGGUUGAAUCCCGGACCCACCUGUGUGGAGUUUGUUUUCCCCGUGCCUGCAUGGGUUUCCUCCGGGCACUCCAGUUUCCUCCCACAUCCCAAAAAACAUGCAACAUUAAUAGGACACUCUAAAUCGCCCCUAGGUGUGAUUGUGAGUACAACCGUUGUCUGUCUCCAUGUGCACUGCAAUUGGCUGGCAACCAGUUCAGGGUGUACCCCGCCUCCUGCCCAUUGACAGCUGGGAUAGGCUCCAGCACUCCCUGCGACCCUCGUGAGGAUAAGCAGCAAAGAAAACAGAUAUAUAUAUAUAUGUAUAUAUAUAUAUAUUCACUGAUUUUACUUUAUUUAUUUUGCAGACCGCACGAUUCAUCACUUAAACUGCUCCCUUUGCACAAAUGACAUUGUCAACACACUUAUCUAUAUAGAUUUCACAUCUUGUCUUAUAAGGAAUAAUUCCUAUAAAUGGAAAUGUCUCUUGUUCUUGUUGCUAUGUAGAUCCUUGUCCUGUUUUCUGUUUUGUAUGUCGUACUAGGGCAGCACCUUAACCAGCACUUAACAAGUUGGAGAAAAAUUCCUUGUGUGUUCUACAGACUUGGCCAUUAAAGAUGAUUCUGAUUCUGAUUUCCACAAAACUAUUUAAUCCUUGGGUGAAAUUUCUAGACAUCGGAAACUGCCCUGUUCAUCUUUCAAGACAUGCCGGUCAGAGUGUGUUACUAAUAAAUCACACAAAGUUUAUGUGAAUAAAUCAAUUUACAACACAUUUUCAUUUGGAGAAUCAAAGACAGACAUAAAUCAGAUUAUUGUGGGGAUUUUUAAAAAAUUGAAGUUUAGAGAAAACUAAGCAAUAUGAGCAGAUGCAGGAAUUUUUAUCCGACCCCUCAUAUUUCCUGCUCAUUGACUAACAAUAUUGGACUGACAGCUACAGUGGGGGACACAAUCCACAUUUUGUACAAGUACUUAAAUGAGGGUAAAGGUUACGAGUAGUGUCUUUUUCACAGUUAUUUAGAACAUUCGUCAAUUGAUUAGUAAGUUCACGAUUUGAGUGAUUAUCAUCCGUUAUUAUUGUUUUUAUAAAUAACUAGUUACAAUAGCUUCUUCAUUUUGAAAAAAGGUUUGAUGUUUUUUCAAACGCUGAUCCAAGAUUAGAUUGGGGGCACAAACCAGUGCAAUCUGUAGGCCGGUCCCAAGCCCGGAUAAAUGCAGAGGGUUGCGUCAGGAAGGGCAUCCGGCAUAAAAACUGUGCCAAACAAAUAUGAGUGUUCAUCUAAAGAAUCCCAUACCAGAUCGGUUGUGGCCCGGGUUAACAACACCCGCCCCCGGCACUGCUGACCUGCAGGGCGUCGGUGGAAAUUCAGCUACUGUGGGUCGAAGACAAAGAAGAAGAGGAAACCGGAUCCAUCGUCAGAAGAAAAAGAGGAAUGGCUAGGAAUGUCUUGGAGGUGAAAAGAGUAUCAGAUUGAGUGAUGAGACUAAAAUUUGAAAUUGAGGGUGUUAUGUAUAAUGUGGUUAGCGGCUAUGCCCCACAGGUAGGAUGUGACCUAAAGUUGAAAGAGAAAUUCUAGAAGGAACUAGAUGAAAUGGUUCUGAGCAUCCCAGACAGCGAGAGAGUUGUGAUUGGUACAGAUUGUAAUGGACAUAUUGGUAAAGGAAACAGGGGCAAUGAAGAAGUGAUGGGUAAGUACGGCAUCCAGGAAAAGAACUUUGAGGGACAGAUGGUGGUGGACUUUGUAAAAAGGAUGGAGAUGGCUGUAGUGAACACUUGUUUCCAGAAGAGGGAGGAACAUCUAGUGACCUACAAGAGCGGAGGUAGAAGCACGCAGGUGGAUUAUAUUUUGUACAGACGAUGUGAUCUGAAGGAGAUUACUGACUGUAAAGUAGUGGUCGGGAGAGUGUAGCUCGACAGCAUGGGAUGGUGGUGUGUAGGAUGACUCUGGUGGUGGGUAGGAAGAUUAAGAAGACAAAGGUAGAGCAGAGAACCAUGUGGUGGAAGCUGAGAAAGGAAGAAUGUUGUGCGGGGAGGUGAGACAGGCUCUCGAUGGACAGUAGAAGCUCUCGGAAGACUGGACUACGACAGCCAAGGUAAUCAGAGAGACAGGCAGGAGAGUACUUUGUGUGUCUUCUGGUAGGAAAGUGGUGAAGGAGACCUGGUGGUGGAACACCAAAAUGCAGGGAGUCAUACAAGGAAAGAGAUUAGCGAAGAAGAAGUGGGACACUAAGAGGACUGAGGAGAAGCGAAAGGAGUACAUCGAGAUGCGACGUAGGACAAAGGUAGAGGUGGCAAAGGCUAAACAAGAGGCAUAUGAAGACAUGUAAACCAGGUUGGAUACGAAAGAAGGAGAAAAGGAUCUCUACAGGUUGGCCAGACAGAGAGAUAAGAGAUGGGAAGGAUGUGCAGUAAGUAAGGGUGAUUAAGGAUAGAGAUGGAAAUGUGUUGACUGGUGCCAUUAGUGUGCUAAAUAGAUGGAAAGAAUACUUUAAGAAGUUGAUGAAUGAAGAAAAUGAGAGAGAAGAAAGCGUUGAAGAGGCAAGUGUGAAGGACCAGGAAGUGGCAAUGAUUAGUAAGGGGGAAGUGUCUGGUGUGUUAUGUGACAGAAGAGUCUCUGCCAGGAUUAAGGGCAAAGUUUACAAAACAGUAGCGAGGCAGGCCAUGAUGUACGGAUUAGAGACUGAGGCACUGAAGAAACAACAGGAAGCAGAACUGGAGGUGGCAGAAAUGAAGAUGUUGAGGUUCUCGCUCGGAGUGACCAGGUUGGAUAGGAUUAGAAAUGAGCUCAUUAGAGGAACAGCCAAAGAUAGAUGUUUUGAAGACAAGAUUCAAGAGAGCAGACUUCGAUGGUUUGGACAUGUUCAGAGGCGAGAGAGUGAGUAUAUUGGUAGAAUGGUACUGAGGAUUGAGCUGCCAGCCAAAAGAGCAAGAGGAGGACCAAAGAGAAGGUUUAUGGAUGUAGUAUGGAAGACAUGAGGGCAGUUGGGGUUAGAAAGGAAGAAGAUAGGCUAAGGUGGAAAAAGAUGACACCCUGUGGCGACCCCUAAUGGGACAAGCCGAAAGGAAAAGAAGAAGAUGCCAAAAACAAGUACAACCAUCUUAAUGAAUCACAGAUUUGUGCGUGAAACAUGCACACGCAUGAUUUCAACACAAUUCUUAGAGUAUGCAUGAUUGGUAAAUGACCCCUGAUGUUUUGGAGUGGCCAUCGCAAGGCCAGGAUCUAAAUUCCAGUCAAGAUUUAUGGGCAUGGAUAGGUAGUUACCACAUCUGCCUCACAGUUCUGAGUACCCAGGUUCAAAUCGGGCUGUCCAAAUAUGAGUGGGAACAUUUUUUUUUACUUUCUAUGUGCCCUCCGAUUGGCUGGCAACUAGUUCAGGUUGGAACCUCGCUCUCUCCUGAACACACUGGGAAAGCUAAGAAAGUAUAGCUGCGACACUAAUCAAGUGAAGAAUCGUGGUGUAGAAAAAUGGACGGAUGGAUUUACGGGCAGACCUGAAAAGGCGUGUGUAAGAAAGGGGGCCUAUAAACUUGGCUCAUUCACACCUGUUCUGUCAGAAGGAGUGGGCCAAUAUUCCUGUCAGCUAUUCUAAAAAUCUUGUGAAAGGACAUCCAAAUCAUUGAACCCAAGUCGUACAGUUUAAAUGCAUUGGAAAGAAAUGCCAAUUAAAGGUGUGUAAAUGUCUAACUUUAAAGAAAAUAAUUAAAACCUAAAAAAAAAAAAAAUUCAUUCUGAGUCAUUAUUCUGGGAUUUAUGAAAGUGAGUUAAUAUGGAUAGCAUAUUUCAUAUUACACUUCAACACAAAGUGCUUUACAGAAAUUCACCAAAUACGACAAUAUAUACAACAACAUUCCCCUACAUCCGCAUAUAUAAAUGUAAAACAUGUCCGCCUGUACACAUACAUGCAUGCGCACCCACACACACACACACACACACACACACACACACCACACACACACACACACACACAAACGCACACACACGGCAUACAUUGGUAAAUAGUCUAGAGACAUACGGCACUGAGAAUCCAAAUUUGGAAGAUAGAAAUAAUUUUCGUCGUCCUAAUGGUUCUGUCCAAUUUCAUGUCCCGCAACGAUAAAGAAAUAUAGCAUGUGUCUUUGUAUAAUUUAUAUAAAUAUCUGGUUUCAACUCGACAUAAAAUUAGUUUGUUAAGUGUGCUAAAUUCUUUUGAUAUUUCGUGAACACAGAUG